UGCAAGUCGAGCGAACAGAUAGGAGCUUGCUCCUUUGACGUUAGCGGCGGACGGGUGAGUAACACGUGGGUAACCUACCUAUAAGACUGGGAUAACUUCGGGAAACCGGAGCUAAUACCGGAUAAUAUUUCGAACCGCAUGGUUCGAUAGUGAAAGAUGGUUUUGCUAUCACUUAUAGAUGGACCCGCGCCGUAUUAGCUAGUUGGUAAGGUAACGGCUUACCAAGGCGACGAUACGUAGCCGACCUGAGAGGGUGAUCGGCCACACUGGAACUGAGACACGGUCCAGACUCCUACGGGAGGCAGCAGUAGGGAAUCUUCCGCAAUGGGCGAAAGCCUGACGGAGCAACGCCGCGUGAGUGAUGAAGGUCUUCGGAUCGUAAAACUCUGUUAUUAGGGAAGAACAUACGUGUAAGUAACUAUGCACGUCUUGACGGUACCUAAUCAGAAAGCCACGGCUAACUACGUGCCAGCAGCCGCGGUAAUACGUAGGUGGCAAGCGUUAUCCGGAAUUAUUGGGCGUAAAGCGCGCGUAGGCGGUUUUUUAAGUCUGAUGUGAAAGCCCACGGCUCAACCGUGGAGGGUCAUUGGAAACUGGAAAACUUGAGUGCAGAAGAGGAAAGUGGAAUUCCAUGUGUAGCGGUGAAAUGCGCAGAGAUAUGGAGGAACACCAGUGGCGAAGGCGACUUUCUGGUCUGUAACUGACGCUGAUGUGCGAAAGCGUGGGGAUCAAACAGGAUUAGAUACCCUGGUAGUCCACGCCGUAACGAUGAGUGCUAAGUGUUA
This 785-nucleotide ribosomal RNA is filed under the name Staphylococcus sp. Y31-MSE-E14. RNAcentral's name for it is "bacterial SSU rRNA". It matches the Rfam family "Bacterial small subunit ribosomal RNA", at positions 56 to 825 of the family's 1533-position model. Lineage: Bacteria; Bacillati; Bacillota; Bacilli; Caryophanales; Staphylococcaceae. The record is from RNAcentral.